RNAcentral lists this unclassified non-coding RNA (7278 nucleotides) under Mizuhopecten yessoensis (Yesso scallop). Its description in RNAcentral is "uncharacterized LOC110447480, transcript variant X1". Lineage: Eukaryota; Metazoa; Mollusca; Bivalvia; Pectinida; Pectinidae. The record is from RNAcentral.
GCGAGCUAAUGGAGCAUUGUACUACAAACGUUAGGCUAGUGUAUGUGUACACUGUCGUAUCGCAUGGGUAAGUUUACCUGGGUGACUAUAGUGUGUGGUUUUAAUGACUGUCAAUGUAUUUUGAUGCUAUUGUUGUGACAUAAGGACGUGGCAAUAAGGUAUAGUGGUAUAUGUGUAUAGUUUUUAACCACGGAUAUUCGUCAAGACUGAAUGGUGUAACUUGUAUGCAGAUUGCACAAUAAUGAAGAAUGCGGUUCAGUGAUCUACCCAACUAUGCGGAUCAAACAUGGUCGACAUCAUCUAAAAAUAUGUGGAUAGGAAUAGGAAUCUCCUAUCGCGUCGUCAUGUGGUUUCCCCACUAAUCGUAAGGAAUAUUUAACUUGUACAUGUACGAACGUUUUAGAAUGUUCGAGAACAACCAUCUAAUAUAGACAGUGCGAGGGAAAUUCCGUGACGUCAUCAUUACUUGGGUGGAGCGUCUUAGGUUGAACAGGAUGGAGGUAAGGAUUAUAUAAGCGGGGGACUGCGCCAGAACCAUCACUCUCCCUACUACUGUUACAUGGGGAUAUUGUUAAGAGAACACUUCCGUCUGAAGUGAUGAUAAAUAUAUAGGUACGUGUACAAGAUUGGAAAGAUAAACACCGAUAGACAAUUACAUAAAGAUUGUGAUGAUGGAUACUUUUAUCUGUAAGGUUGAUAGACAAUUACAUGAGGAUUGUAAGUAUGGACUCUUCCGACACACAUAUGUAUUACGACUAAAAAGAUGGACUCUUCCGCCUGCAGGAAUGAUAACAAUUACAUGAUGACUGUACAGAUGGAUUCUUCAGUCUACAGUGAUGAUAAACAAAUGCAUGAUAACUGUAAAGAUGGACUCUUUCGUCCGAAAUGAGCCGGUGAACAUUCAUAUAAGGACUUCAAAGAUGGAAGCGUCUGUCUAUAAUGUAACACACUAGCAGGAAGACAGUUAGGACGGUGUUGUCAAUGAGAUAUGUCUAUGAUGUGACACACUAGCAGGAAGACAGUUAUGACAGUGCUGUCAAUGAAAUAUGUCUAUAAUGUGACACACUAGCAGGAAUACAGUUAUGGCAGUGUUAUCAAUGAGAUUGACGCGUCUGUUUAUACUGACAAGUGUACCGCGCAUCAGUGAUUUUCAUGAUUAUACAUCUGCUUAAAUUUAAAGCAACAACAAUAUGUCUGCCUCUACCUUCCGUCAGAUCAACAAGUCGACCUUUGAACACAUCAAAUAUGGUGAACCAUGUCCUUUACCUCGUGUUAUAACUCAGAUGCUCCGUGAGUCAUGGUUCUACAUAGUCCAAGACAACAUUUCCCAGCGUCUGGUACAGUAUCUUGAUGACUGCCACGGUAACGAGGAAAUAGUGAAGAACAGGAGAAAGGUUAAAACCAUCAGAGAGUACAUAGAAAAAAAUUCAAAUAGCGGUUUACUGAAUAUGAUCAGUGGUGGAAGUAUUGGGGACGGGUUUCGCAUAGUCACCUCAGAUUUAGACGUAAUGCACUCCCUGGAAACUGUAGUGGUAACCUAUCCAGAUCAUAUGAACCUCAUACCUUGUAACAGUGAAAACAAGACAAUUCUGUUAAUGAGGGAAGCUGGUUGCAGACCUGGGUAUGUUAACCUUGAAAUAUUUCAAAUUGGAGAUGAAGAGGGGAGCAAUUCCCGAUUUCAAAAAGCGGUUAUUCCUGUUGGUGAUUUGUAUGUUUUAUCUAGUGAUAUCUAUAGACAAGAGACCGUGGCAACUAUCAGUAGGGCAACUGGUGCGGAUUUUGUUUCCAAUGGACCAUGUACCACUCUAUUCUUGCAUGGUAAUGCAAUAAGCCUUGAUUUAGCAUUCUCAUUUCCGUGUGUAUGUUGGCCGCGGGUAGCUAAUGAAUGGAAAUACCGAAGUCGCCUUCAUGGUUGGCCAUCUCAGACAAUGAUUCACAGGAUUGUUCAAGGUGGGUGUCAUCUCGUACCUGUUGGUGAUAAGUGUUCAACAGACACGCUGCUACAAUGGAGGAUUUCAUUUGCCUGUGCAGAACAACUAUUAGUUCAUUCUCUCACUCAUCCGCAGUUCAGGGUAUACGGAUUACUGAAGUAUUUCCUUUACCAGAUCAAAGACUUGCUGGACCAUAUUAUUGGGGAUAGUGAUAUCCUUUGUUCAUAUUUUCUAAAAACGGUUAUCUUUUAUGCCGUUGAAAAUUCACCACAUUUGCUAUGGGAUGAUCAAAACACAUUUAUAUGUUUUCGGUUCUGCCUGUCUAUUUUGAUUGUUUGGGUCAAAUCGAGUUAUUGUCCAAACUAUUUCAUCAGAAGAAACAACAUGUUUUUGAGGAAAGUUCAUGGGGAAAACCGUGAAAAACUGCUUCAUUUUCUUAUUGAUCUCUAUUACCUAAACUGGAUGUGUUUGUCAAUAGAAUCGGUCAAUACUCCAAACAUCGGAGUAAUGCUCCAACAACACCAAAGUUUGAAAUCAAUACAACAUUUGGAAUGUCUGAGGGACUUGGACCUUUUUCGGGAAUGUUUGUUUCGUUUAACGCCGGUAGGUAACGAGAAAAAAAAGCUGUACCUUUCAAUGAAACACCUCCUUGAGGCUAAAACGGAUGUGGAUGAGUUCAUUGCUUACUGUGUAAUGACUACUACACUUUACGAAAUAGCCUGCACAUUGUUUAACGUGUAUACCAAUAUUAAAAGCAACAAACAGAAGUAUUUAGCCCUUAAGAAAUGUAAGCAAUUACUGGCGCGGCAAGCGUCGGUAUGUACCAGUCCGGGACUGAUGUUUUUAGCAACGUUUUACUACCUCACAGGAGAUUACAAGAACACAAUUAGAAUGUGUGCAGAAAUGACGUCGACAUUUAAGCUAUACAUUGGCCAAUCCAUAACAGAAACUGAAGAAUCUAGAGAACAAUACCAAAGGUUUUACUGUGGACAGGGAUACCCGUUACACAAGAGGUUUAAAGAAGGGGUGUAUUCGUGUUUGUGCUUUGCUCAAGUAAGCCCUUCACUAUGCUUACCUCAUCUACUUCCUGAAGUUUUCAAACAUAUAGUUGUAACAAUUCCACCACUAGCGUAUGCACGCUUCCUUUCCUUCCUGUGUUACCACGACCUUGGUGACAUAAGGAGACGUGACACAGAACUCACCAACCUUCGGGCUGUGAACUACGACCCUGUACAAGGGGGACACGAAUACUGGAUAGUACACACAUUGCUAGGGAUCUGUUACCAAACUGUGGGUGACAAUCGCAGGGCGAUCAGGUCAUUUACGGACUCUCUACGUAGCAUACCUGAUGAUAACGCUGCUAAAGAGAGAAUAGAGGCUCUGCGGAAGUCUGAGUAGACACAAUAGCAUAAUGAUAGCACAUAUGUUGGAUACAAUCCAAGCUUAAAUAACGUCGACAACAACACAUUUUAAUAUGUAAGCAGUUAAUAUUUUCUUAAUAUUUAUUCACAGCAAAACAGUGCAUAUUUAUUGUAUGUUAUUCGUAAUCAUUUACGAGUACUGUUAACUAUUAUAUAUUAGGAAUGACUGCACAAUAGCGAAUGCUACUCGAAAUGUCCUUCAAGAACGAUAUUUCCCUUAUAAAAUCCCUACUUCGAAAUCUUACCCUACCAAACUUUCCCAUUCCCUCCUAUUGAUGUUUGACAUCUAAAAUUCCACUAAAAAAACAUUGUGUUUGUGAUUGGAAGCAUGUAAAAUAUAAAAAAAUAAGAAAAUAACACCAAUGCUGUGGUACUUGCUUGAAAUUAUCACAACAACAAUCUUACCAACAUGCAUCUCCCCGAAUACGGCAACGAGUGUGACCAUGACCAUUGGGCUAUACCGACUAUGCGUUGUUUACUUGUAAAAAAUACACAAUGAUCUUGCAUGGCUUAUACAUAUGCUAUAAGAACGUAGAUUGAUUAUUGCUGUUCAUUUUGUUAUGUUCCCUAUAGGAACUUUGUAAUAGAAUAUAUCUGUUAUAGGUACAUGUUGUAUAAAAAUAGCUUUAUGAGGCCAUCCCGACAAUUGAAACAAGGCUGAUGUCAUGCUGUUUGAAAGGUCACCGUUUUCAACAUUUCCAAAGCAUUUGUAUGACCAAGGUAUUUUAAUGUUUGAAUGUAAGGCCUCAUCAGGGCUACAUGUACCAGAAAUAUGUCAUCCCCACAUCAUUUGUAUUGCCAAGGUUCUUCAAUGUUUGAAUGUAUGACCCCAUCAGCGUUAUAUAUACCAGGAAUAUGACAUCCCCACAUUAUUUGUAUUGCUAAGGUUUUUCAAUGUAUGGCCCCAUCAGCGUUAUAUAUACCAGGAAUAUGACAUCCCCACAUUAUUUGUAUUGCUAAGGUUUUUCAAUGUAUGACCCCAUCAGCGUUAUAUAUACCAGGAAUAUGACAUCCCCACAUUAUUUGUAUUGCCAAGGUUCUUCAAUGUUUGAAUGUAUGACCCCAUCAGCGUUAUAUAUACCAGGAAUAUGACAUCCUCACAUUAUUUGUAUUGCCAAGGUUCUUCAAUGUUUGAAUGUAUGACCCCAUCAGCGUUAUAUAUACCAGGAAUAUUACAUGCCCACAUUAUUUGUAUUGACAAGGUUCUUCAAUGUUUGAAUGUAUGACCCCAUCAGCGUUAUAUACACCAGGAAUAUUACAUGCCCACAUUAUUUGUAUUGCCAAGGUUCUUCAAUGUUUGAAUGUAUGAUCUCAUCAGCGUUAUAUAUACCAGGAAUAUGACAUCCCCACAUUAUUUGUAUUGCCAAGGUUCCUCAAUGUUUGAAUGUAUGACCCCAUCAGUUUUAUAUAUACCAGGAAUAUGACAUCCCCACAUUAUUUUUAUUGCCAAGGUUCUUCAAUGUUUGAAUGUAUGACCUCAUCAGCGUUAUAUAUACCAGGAAUAUGACAUCCCCACAUAUUUGUUUAGGUCCAAUCAACAUAACCCUGGAUAGGACUUCCCCAACAUGUCUGUAUGAUAAGGAGUUUAACAUGUGCGGACAUUCCUUUCAUCAAAACUUUAAGGUACAUGUAGUGGAAUACUUGCUCCAAUAAGUCGUCAUAGUAGUGUUCUACACUUUGCAACUCGUGUGUGUGAAUUUAGAUUGCUUUAUUGAAAGAACAGGUCCGGAUAUUGGUGUUAUAAUUAUAGGCUCUUUAUUAGAAGCGGAUUAUAUCGAACAAAUGAAAAUUAAAUCAAUUAUAUCUGGAGCCAAACAGUUGAUUUAAAACAAUGGGAAAUUUUGACAAUACUAAAAUAUAUACAUUAACGAGUUGAGAGCAUGUCCAUUGUGACUGAUUAACAAAUGGUGACGUAAUGUCGAAUAAGAUUUGUUUUUUCAAUUGUAGUUUUUCUAUGAUUUUUUAAAAAGUACAAUGCAUGUUUCCCUAGGGAGACUUUUCUUAGGUAUAGGGUGUAGCUUUUGAAUUUUAUUACUUUUUUUGUCAGUAAGAGAUCGAAUUCCGUCAACCCGAUAAAUCUGCUCUCACACAGUGACAGAUAUCAAAAGUGACAUUUGUCGAAGUUUGAAAAUAUCUCUUUGGGUAUUGACCAAUCGAAAAAUCUCUUUCUAGUAACUUCAUUUAAAUCCACAGAUUCGUUGUUCAGAUACAUAUAAAACGACGGGAUGAUAAAAGGAUGUGUUGAUACAUCUUCGCUGCAUAAACUAAGGUAUUGAUACUGAUAGGAUAUGACGCCAGCGAUUAACCUUCUAUGCAGUAACAUUGUCGUAGUUGUAAAUAGUUAUAAAAUGCAAUAGAUUUACAAUAUUUUGGUUUUCUUGUUGAAUACUGUAAAUAUUUCGUUCGUAUUGCAAAUAUACUGAUACUUUCACUCGUGCGUCACACACGUGAAAAUUGGUUUUCUGCUAUAAUGUGAAUCUAUUAUAAUUUUAGUUUACACACAAUACAUUUAUCUCUGUACAUUUUUUCAUUAAUCAUCUAUGUUUAAAUUUACUGUAUAGAUUGCAUAUGUUGGAUGUGUGGUCUUCUACUUACUUAUUUCAUCUUAUGUAAAGAGCGUUUAGGUAUGGUCAGUUUGCUUGAUUAAAAGUGUCUGUAGCGGGGAGACAGAGAUGGGAGGGUGCCUGGGUGGGGGUAUGAGUACAUAGGAGCCUGGAGUAUUUAAAGUUUAUCAAAUACUCGUUUUGGCCUCUCAAAUUGUUGGGGACAACAAUUUGUAUACCCCCAAUUCAGAUAAUUGGAUGGAUAAAGAUAAUGGGUAGAAGUCUACCUGUAGUUUAACAAUAUAUGGUAGAAGUCUACCAGUGUAACAUUAGAUGGUAGACGUCUACCAGAGUAACAUUAAUUGGUAGAAGUCAACCAGCUUAACUAUCAUAGAUGUUAGAAGUCUACCAGUUUUAGCAAUAGAUGGUAGAAGUCUACCAGGUUAACAAUAGAUGGCAGAAGUCUACCAGUUUUAACAAUAUAUGGUAGAAGUCUACAAUUUUAAAUAUCGGUAGGUAAAAGUGUAUCAGUGUCGCAUAAGAUGGUAGAAGUCUACCAGUGUAACAUUAGAUAGUAGACGUCUACCAGUUUAACUAUAAUAGAUGUUAGAAGUUUACCAGUUUUAACAAUAGAUGGUCGAAGUCCACCACUUUAACUAUAUAUGGUAGAAGUCUACCAGUGUCGCAUUAGAUAGUAGACGUCUACCAGUUUAACUAUAAUAGAUGUUAGAAGUCUACCAGUUUUAACAAUAGAUGGUAGAAGUCUACCACUUUAACUGUAUAUGGUCGAAGUCUACGAGUGUCGCAUUGUAUGGUAGACGUCUACCAGUUUAACUUUAAUAGAUGUUAGAAGUCUACCAGUUUUAACAAUAGAUGGUAGAAGUCCACCACUUUAACUAUAUAUGGUAGAAGUCUACUAGUUUUAACAUUAGAUGGUAGACGUUUACCAGUGUAACAUUAAUUGGUAGAAGUCUACCAGCUUAACUAUUAUAGAUGUUAGAAGUCUACCAGUUUAGCAAUAGAUGGUAGAAGACUACCGUUUUAACUAUAGGUUGAUAGAAGUCUACAAUUAUUAAUAUAGGUAGGUAGAAGUCUACCAGUUUAACAAUAUAUGGUAGAAGUCUACCAGUUAUAACUAUAGGUUUGUAGAAGUCUUCCAGUUUAACAAUAUAUGGUAGAAGUCUACCAGUUGAUUUAUAUAUAUAAAUAGAUUCGUACGAGUAGCCCCCGAGAAAUCACUGUUAUGUUGUUGUGUAGGGUUGGUAAGAAAGGUUUAUGUAGGUCUGUAAAGUGUUGUAGAAUAUUUUAUGCAUAUGCUUGUGUGGAACAUUGUAAGAACAAUGUGAAAUUAUGGUUACUAUGAUUAAAACAUGUUUACUGUUA